Molecule: ribosomal RNA, 393 nt
Filed under: uncultured bacterium
Lineage: Bacteria
Description: partial 16S ribosomal RNA
Rfam family: Bacterial small subunit ribosomal RNA
Source: RNAcentral
AUACGGAGGAUGCAAGCGUUAUCCGGAUUUAUUGGGUUUAAAGGGUGCGUAGGCGGUUUGCUAAGCGGGAGGUGAAAUGCCGGCGCUCAACGUCGGAAGUGCCUCCCGAACUGGUGGACUUGAAUGACUCUGCCGUGGGAGGAAUGUGUAGUGUAGCGGUGAAAUGCUUAGAGAUUACACAGAACACCGAUUGCGAAGGCAUCUCACGAAGGGUUGAUUGACGCUGAGGCACGAAAGCGUGGGGAUCAAACAGGAUUAGAUACCCUGGUAGUCCACGCAGUAAACGAUGAUGGCUAACCGCUGGUUUAUUCGGAUCAGUGGCCAAGCGAAAGCGAUAAGCCAUCCACCUGGGGAGUACGACCGCAAGGUUGAAACUCAAAGGAAUUGGCGGGG